UGGGCAGCGGGCGCCUCUGUGGAAGCCACCUCAGCUGGCAGGUGGAGAUGUCAGCAGAAAGGCCUGCAGGUGCAGUGGAGGGAAAAGAAGCAGAGAGAGAAAUCCUCCCAGCCAGGUCUCCACUUUGGCACCAGCAUGUAUGAUACUCGGACACCUCUUCCUAAAAAACGAAACAGCAGACCAGAAUGGAGUCACUUUUGCUAAACGGCACCACCAAGUCAAAACUCAAUACCUAGCCUGAUUGGCGUUUCAGCCUCUUCCAGGAGUAGAAUUUUAAACUAGUCUGGGACUUCCUGACCAACACAGUGGGGUCAUCUGCCUGGAAGCUGAGCCAAUCAUUGAGCAAUACAUGUCCACAGCAACACAGGCGUCAACAGCAAAUACACUGCCUGCUCUGAGCCCGGAAUUGAAAUAAAAGCGAACAGCUGCCAUGGUCUGGCUUCUUAUCCCACUUCUCUUUACUCAUGGAGUUAUUAUUGGAACCAGACGUAAGAAUAGCAAACACCUUGAAUGCUAGGUCAAGGAAGAAUUUGAGCAAGAAAGGAGCAUGUUCAGAUGUUCAUGUUUGGAGGAUUUCUGGCCCAUUUUGGUACUCACAGUUAUUCCGGAUGGCUUAUGAACCAGGUUCCAGUCAACAGAUGCAUGAAACACAACUCUAUUUAUAUUUGAUGUGGCCCUUGGGACCAUCAGCUCCUAACUCAGCUACUAAUAACUCUUGUAGCCAGAGCAUGUCAGUUAAAUUCUCAGAAUCUCAUCUUCCUUAUCUUGUAAUCUCAUUUUCCUUAUCUUGUAGUGUUGUUGUAAGGAUUACAAAUAAUAUAUUACAGUGUCUACUGCAUAAUAAAUUAUAGCUAUUA
This is a long non-coding RNA of Myotis myotis, 857 nucleotides long. RefSeq lists it as uncharacterized. NCBI's taxonomy places the organism in Eukaryota, Metazoa, Chordata, Mammalia, Chiroptera, Vespertilionidae. The transcript is spliced from 5 exons. The record is from RefSeq and is a predicted model, not a curated record.